AUGAAGCAGGGAGUUUCAGAAAUUAAGACUGUCAAGCAAAAAGGAGAACGCUUUCACUCAACCUUCCUCUCUCCCCGUGUAUAUACAAGCCAAGCUUUCCCAGGGGCCAGGAAGACCGAGGCUAGCGCUGUCCACGGUGCUGAACAGCCGGCUGAGCCCACUCACCGGCCACCACCGCCGCUCCCAGGAAGCCGAGAAACACGGCCGGCUGCAUGGCUCCGAUCGCUCGAAUCUGCACGGAGAAGAGGAUGGGAGCUGGACCGGAAGGAUAUACUGAAUGUUUGCUGUGAACAUGGCACCAAGAAAGACAAACCAAGAGAGAGGCUCUGACCCCUUUCUUCAGUUUGACAAUGAAGUCUCUGCUGGGUCUGGCAUUAUGUGAGUUGUUGGGACUCAAGGACAGUUAGGACAUAUCAUAACUGACCUCAACAAGCCUAUCAGGAGUUCAGAGGUACAAAUAAAUAAUUAUAAGCCAGAUACUGAGUGCUUCUUUAGAGGAAAUAUAAAAUAGGACCAGUACAAAGGUUGGCAGGGAUGUCCCAAGGCUUCCACUGGAGCUGAUUUUUGAGCUGGCUUUUAAGUAAACAUAUGCCAGAGAAGCUUAUUAUUUCCUAGGAUGAUGAAUAACAUUAAAGACAAAAUAGCAGUUACAAGGCAGUGUGCCACUCAUGCUGGAGCUGGCUUGUACUAGUUCAUGAGAGUUGACUGUUACAUUUUCAGGAAUUUCAAGAGAGUUGGCUGACAUCACAUUGGCAGCUUGAACUCAGCCAUCGUGGGAAUAUUACACACAGA
RNAcentral lists this long non-coding RNA (792 nucleotides) under Mustela putorius furo (domestic ferret). RNAcentral describes it as "lncRNA (ENSMPUG00000026277.1)". The record is from RNAcentral. Lineage: Eukaryota; Metazoa; Chordata; Mammalia; Carnivora; Mustelidae.